Molecule: ribosomal RNA, 594 nt
Filed under: uncultured bacterium
Lineage: Bacteria
Description: bacterial SSU rRNA
Rfam family: Bacterial small subunit ribosomal RNA
Source: RNAcentral
AAUCAACGCUGGCGGCGUGCUUCAGACAUGCAAGUCGAACGAAAAAGUUCCCUUCGGGGAAUGAGUAAAGUGGCGCACGGGUGAGUAACACGUAAGUAAUCUACCUUUGGGUGGGGAAUAACUCAGGGAAACUUGAGCUAAUACCGCAUAAUGCAGCGGCUCGUAAUCGAGACAGUUGUUAAAGAAUUUAUUCGCCUAAAGAGGAGCUUGCGGCAGAUUAGCUAGUUGGUAAGGUAAUGGCUUACCAAGGCAACGAUCUGCAGCCGACCUGAGAGGGUGGUCGGUCACACUGACACUGAAUAACGGGUCAGACUCCUACGGGAGGCAGCAGUCGGGAAUUUUGUGCAAUGGGGGAAACCCUGACACAGCAACGCCGCGUGAAGGACGAAGUCUUUCGGGAUGUAAACUUCGCAAAUAUAGGAAGAAUCAAUGACGGUACUAUAUGUAAGCUCCGGCUAACUACGUGCCAGCAGCCGCGGUAAUACGUAGGGGGCAAGCGUUGUUCGGAUUUACUGGGCGUAAAGGGCGCGUAGGCGGCGUGACAAGUCACUUGUGAAAUCUCCAGGCUUAACCUGGAACGGCCAAGUGAUACUG